UACGUAGGUGGCGAGCGUUGUCCGGAUUUACUGGGCGUAAAGCGCGCGCAGGCGGACUGAUCAGUCUGGGGUGAAAUCUCACGGCUCAACUGUGAGCGGUCCCUGGAUACUGUCAGUCUUGAGAUGUCUAGAGGAGAGCGGAAUUCCCGGUGUAGUGGUGGAAUGCGUAGAUAUCGGGAAGAACACCAGUGGCGAAAGCGGCGACCUGGGCCAAUAUUGACGCUAAUGUGCGAAAGCGUGGGGAGCAAACAGG
This 253-nucleotide ribosomal RNA is filed under the name uncultured bacterium. RNAcentral describes it as "partial 16S ribosomal RNA". It matches the Rfam family "Bacterial small subunit ribosomal RNA", at positions 524 to 776 of the family's 1533-position model. The record is from RNAcentral.